CAAAUUCUAAAUUAGGAGACAUCCGAUGUAGCCCUCCUAAUCUUCACUGAAGUCGGAGAUGUACUUUCAGAGAUUAGUGGGGUCACUUAGGAAAUUCGAGGUCCAGUCAACUCAGAGAUUGAGCUGCGAGGGGCGAGAAGUGCAGCCUUCAGGUGUCUCCCAGAUCCUCACCCACUGGAGCGGCAGCAGAGGGAAGAGAAGGUGCUCGCUUUCACGUGAUUAUGGCUGGAUGCAGGAGACAUUGGGUUAUGAAAGGGAACAUAGGUUGUCUGUAGUACAAUGGGUACAGUAUCUCAUAAUGAAGUGGGAGGGUCUUCCAUUCCAACAGUAGUUGUUGAGAGACCUACCUGUGUCCACCCUGCGCCAUGGAGGGGAGUAGCCACAACUUAGUCUCCAGCAGGUUAUGGCGGUGAUGAAGACAAGCCAGGGAGAGAAGGCUCUGGCCUCGGUUGGCUGUGCAGGCCUGGAGGGCAGGGGGUGGCUGCACCCACCCUUGUACAAGUUGGGCACCGUGUGGUGGGCAUCCACGGCUUGUGGAAGGUGGUGUAAGUCACAGAAUGCCCACCAGUCAGGAGGAGAAGGUAAGGAUGAGAACACGUCCUGAGGACCCUCACCCACACCGGGAGUGAGGCGUCUCUGCUGACGUUCAACCUACUUCUUUAUCAAGGUCUUCUCGGGGUAAGGUGUUCUGUGGUGGCGAGGGCAUCCCUGAACUGGGCAGGAUUUGUGAGCAAAGAGGGCUUCAUCUUCGUAAGAGGAAGGGGCAGCUCUCUGUCCCCACAGUGGAUGGGGGUCCCCCAUGCCGGCACCUGCCGUCUCACACAGUCUUGUUAUGUUGCUUUGUUUUGUUUUGUUUUGGCUGGAAGUUGAUUCAUGGUGCAGCAUGACCUGGUGAGGGCAGAGGCACUCCCGCAGGAAGAUCCGGAGUGCCGGCACAUUUGGGGCACCAGCCAUGGACCAGACUGACCAUGCCAACUGCUGCCAUUGCUGCCGCCAUUUGUGGCUGCCUGCAGGCCGUGGCCUUCGUUUACUCUGUGCUUGACUCAACAGCCUCCUUUAUCGCUCCUUGGGUUUCUUGACUGUUUCAAGAAUUCCUUGGAAGGGCUUUACCUCUCAGGUUGGUCCCAAGGUAAUGACCAGCCUUGAUGGUCACGGACCUUUGAACUGAGACAGGUGAAAUCCUAGGUGUCGCUGGAAGUGACUCAGACGUCCCACAAAGUCCGUCAGGCCCCUGUUGUCCGAGCUCACGUGGUGGACCCACGGUCCUUCUGCAUCCAUCGGUCGUCUGUGGUCCAGUUCUGUGAGUGCUCAGGUGGCAGGAAGCUGUCACGCUUGCCCGCCACUGGGACAGCAUGUUGGCCUUGGGCAGGAGUCUCCUGGUCAGGGGCUGCCUCUGGGUUCUGUGGCCCCGCUCCCCUUCGCUCAUCCCUGCCCUGGGAACGCAGCUAUGUCCACAGCCCGGCUCCAGGCUCUGUCUGUCCAGCUCGGCUGGGGCCACGGGAGCCGUGGCAGCCUUAGGACGCCUUAGAAUCCCUCCUCUCAGGGCUCACGCUCAGGUGCUGCCUGAGGACAGCUGCCUCUCAUGUUGGUCCGGGUUUACGGCUGGUUUUGGUGGGAGGGCACGUAAGCAGCAGUUCCUCUGUCACAGCAGAAGGAAAAGCUCUCGCUUUUGGUUUUGACUUACUGUCCCCCUGCUCUCCUCAGAACUGAGACAGGGCCCCAGGGAGGGUUGGGCUAUGGGCCACGUGACAGACUCUGAUGGCGCCCCUCUAAGACCCAUGCUUUUCUUUCUGGCUGAGUUCUUGGCAAUGAGUCCCUGCCCUUCUUAUCCUUGGGGGCUCACCGCUGCUUGUUUUUCAUAACAGCUUUCUUGAGACAAUUCACGUAUAGUUCACCCAUUUAAAGUGUGCAACUCAGUAGUUUCAGCAUAUUCACAGAAUUGUGCAACCAUCACCACAGUCAAUUUUAGAACAUUUUCAUCACCUCCAAAAGAAACCCCGUGCCCUUUGGCUACCACCCCAAGUUCCCCAGCCCUAAGCACCCAGUAAUCUGCUUUCUGUCUCUAUGGACUGACCUAUUUGGGAAAUUUCAUACAAAUGCAAUUGUACCAGGUAUGGCCUUUUGUGACCGGCUUCUUUCACUCAGCACAGUGUUUCAAGGUUCACCCAUGUUUGGCAGCAUCAGUACUUAGUUCCUCUUUAUGGCUGAAUAAUAGUCC
RNAcentral lists this long non-coding RNA (2218 nucleotides) under Equus caballus (horse). RNAcentral describes it as "lncRNA (ENSECAG00000057236.1)". The record is from RNAcentral. Lineage: Eukaryota; Metazoa; Chordata; Mammalia; Perissodactyla; Equidae.